RNAcentral lists this ribosomal RNA (499 nucleotides) under uncultured bacterium. RNAcentral's name for it is "partial 16S ribosomal RNA". It matches the Rfam family "Bacterial small subunit ribosomal RNA", at positions 28 to 507 of the family's 1533-position model. The record is from RNAcentral.
GAUGAACGCUGGCGGCGUGCCUAAUACAUGCAAGUCGAGCGAACAGACGAGAGUGCUUGCACUCUCUGACGUUAGCGGCGGACGGGUGAGUAACACGUGGGUAACCUACCUAUAAGACUGGGAUAACUUCGGGAAACCGGAGCUAAUACCGGAUAAUAUUUAGCUUCGCAUGAAGCAAUAGUGAAAGACGGUUCUGCUGUCACUUAUAGAUGGACCCGCGGUGUAUUAGCUAGUUGGUGAGGUAACGGCUCACCAAGGCAACGAUACAUAGCCGACCUGAGAGGGUGAUCGGCCACACUGGGACUGAGACACGGCCCAGACUCCUACGGGAGGCAGCAGUAGGGAAUCUUCCGCAAUGGACGAAAGUCUGACGGAGCAAUGCCGCGUGAGUGAAGAAGGUUUUCGGAUCGUAAAACUCUGUUGUAAGGGAAGAACAAGUACGUUAGUAACUGAACGUACCUUGACGGUACCUUACCAGAGAGCCACGGCUAACUACGUG